Molecule: ribosomal RNA, 497 nt
Filed under: uncultured bacterium
Lineage: Bacteria
Description: partial 16S ribosomal RNA
Rfam family: Bacterial small subunit ribosomal RNA
Source: RNAcentral
GAUGAACGCUGGCGGCGUGCCUAAUACAUGCAAGUCGAGCGAACAGACGAGGAGCUUGCUCCUCUGACGUUAGCGGCGGACGGGUGAGUAACACGUGGAUAACCUACCUAUAAGACUGGGAUAACUUCGGGAAACCGGAGCUAAUACCGGAUAACAUGUUGAACCGCAUGGUUCAACAGUGAAAGACGGUCUUGCUGUCACUUAUAGAUGGAUCCGCGCCGCAUUAGCUAGUUGGUAAGGUAACGGCUUACCAAGGCAACGAUGCGUAGCCGACCUGAGAGGGGUUACGGCCACUGUGGAACUGAGGCACGGUUCAUACUACUACGGGCGGCAGCAGUAGGGAAUCUUCCGCAAUGGGCGAAAGCCUGAGGGGGUUGCGCCGCGUUGGUGAAGAAGGUCUUCGGAUCGUAGAACUCUGUUAUUAGGGAAGAACAAUUGUGUAAGUAACUAUGCACGUCUUGACGGUACCUAAUCAGAUAGCCACGGCUAACUUAGUG